Molecule: long non-coding RNA, 3836 nt
Organism: Taeniopygia guttata (zebra finch)
Lineage: Eukaryota; Metazoa; Chordata; Aves; Passeriformes; Estrildidae
Source: Ensembl
UCCCCCGCACGGCGCGGCCCCAGCGCCGCGGACAGCCCCGGGCGGCGCAGGAAGCCCCGCCGGCCCUGCACCGCUCCCGCCCCGCGGCUCCGGCGAUGAUAAAGUGCAGACAUCAUAAUUGAUCCACCUUGUGACCCUGCAGCUGCAAGAUCAAGGAAGGCAGAAACCUGGAAACCCAACUGCAUAAUUUCACAUGGCACAGCAUCACAUUAGAAGGCAACAACAGCAGAAUGAAGCCAAUACUGAUUCUGUGUCAAGUCAACCAUGGGACAAGGUUCACACAUUCAAAAUUAUUACUUCAUUACCCAUAGGCAACUGAAUACUGCAGUACUGGCAUUCACAGACUGAUACUUAUGCUCUAAUUGGUUGCUCAGCUUUAAUUAUAGGCAGACAUGGCAGAAACAUGCAUGAAAAUGAAGUCUUUGUUGCAGAGGUGCUUGGAGAGCCAGUGUUCAGCAGUAAUCACCAGCAAGUGGCAGCCACCACCAGAAAGAUCCCAGCUUUCCAAAGACACUGAAGCCAAGAAGCCAGUGGGAUACCUGGCAAUGAGAAAAUGAGCACAGAGGAGCACAAGUUUCUCCUCCACACAACUCAUUCCUAGUGAACAGUCAAGCAUCACCAUGGGAGGAAGGUGUUGGAGAGGGAGAUGAGGUAGCUGAAACCUGAAGCUCCAGAGCCAAACCUCUACCUUGGUGUCACCACUUCGCAUGUGCUGCCAUGUACUGCCUUGCACAGCAGCCUCCUCACUCCGUAUGCAUGGCUUUUACCAUCUCCCUCUUCAGACUAAAGAGCCACCAUAGCAUUUGGUGUUUGUUACAUAUCCUGACAAACCGAAUCCUGGCAAAAUUGAGCACAAGUCCUCUGGAAAAGUAGAACUUUACCCAGUGAGAAAAUUUUCUGGCCACCUCUGUGGCAUUCUGCAGACUCCAGGAGGGAUAAGGAGAACCACAGCAUCACAGAGCAGUUUGUCACAGCAGUGUGAGUUCAGGUAAUGCCUAAAGGAACUCUAUGAAGAAUAUAAUCUGUGAAUGUACUUUGUAGAGGUAUACUGCAAGAGAUAUGUGCACCACAUACAGUAAACAAUGUAAUGGGAUUUCUUGGACAGGUGUACAGCACUUACAUAAAAACCAGCUCCUUCCACCAUGGGGUGGAGGUUUCAGAUAAACAUCCUGUCUCACCUCAGGCAUGUGACUUACUGUCAAUCUUGAGCAGGGAUUGUUAUCCCCAAUGCUGUGUUUCUAAAACAAUUUUUCAAGAGCACAUAGUCAUCACACUGCCAAGACCCACAGUUCAUACAAUCCCAGAACCACUAAGGCUGGAAGGGAUCCUGGGAGCCACCCAAGCAGCUUCCUCUAAGGUUACUUCUUGCCUCUUCAAGUUCUAUAGCUUUCAGAUUUUCUUUUCUUUUAAUUAUUAAAAAAAAAAAUCAUUCUAGGCAAGAGGAAAUGCUUUUUUCGCCCUGAUUUGUUGAGAUGGUUUCAAUAAAUCUGACACGUGUCAACAAGUCAGGAGGAAAUUCCAGCAGCAGUUACAUAAAUUGCUGAAAACAGCCAUGUUUAGAGAGAGAAUUCUGAUGCUGAGCCAUGGCUGUGUCAGUACAGGUAUUGGUAGACUUAAAAGAGACAGGACUACAUUAGUAACCCUCAUCUGAAUGACCCCAGGUCAGUUCUAGUUGGAUGAGAUGUACAUUUAAAUAUCUUCACAUCAAAGAAAAGGGAGAAAUUAUUACAUCCACAUCCUCCACUUUAAUUUCUAAACCAAUUCAUCCAUCAAGUUGUCUUGAAUCAAAAUGCUACUUCCAAAAAAAGUCUGCACUAGAUGUAUUAUGGCAGGCAGAGCAAUCCCUUCUUCCUGCUGUUCAGCAACAGAUCAUUCAAGACAGGAGCCUGGGCUGUGUUGAAGGCAGAUAAAAUUACAGUCACUUCCCAAAAUAAAUGUCAAGAGCUAGUUCCUCUUUUCUCCACAUCAUGGAACCAAUCCACAAUUGUUACACUUGUUAGACAGCUCUUUCUCUACCUUCCCAGGCCUAAGAAGGAAACCUUGCCUUCAGGACCCUUUCUUCAUCCUGUCCACACAUUUCCUGGUCCCUCAAACAAGCUGCAUUUGUCUCAAGAAUUUAGCUUUUGCGGGAGGAGGCAGGGGGAUCCACAACAUGGUAUCAUUGGCUUACAUAGAAGUAUAGGACAAAAUUGGUGUAUGACUGCUUCUUUUUUUCCAGACACACAUGCUGAGGAGAAACUCAGGUCUACAUGAGUAAACAGAUUUUACACCACCAACAUAUGAGCACAGUAGAGAUUCCCACCUUCAGCAAAUGGCAGAAAAGCCCCAUGCACUGACCCACAAUGCUAGUUAACAGAGAAGCUCUGAUCCUUCAUUGCAGCACAGCUUGUGUUGCACACAGAAACCUCACAAAACCAUCCCCUCUGCUCACCAGAGCACUGCAGCAGGGCUCCAGCCAUGCCUUUCCCUGGGAAAUGGGCACUCUGAGGCCUCCAGAGGGGUUUGGCAGCACCCAGAGGCUCAGAAGUGCUGAGCACCUCCAGGUUAAAGCACCACAGGGGUGAUUAAAACCUGAACCUCCCCCUGUGGUCUCCUGAGUUAGAAUACCAUGCCCACAGUCAUCCAGCUGGCAAAAAAUAGGUAUGGAUAUGGUUGGCCCAAGAGCAGAACCUGUAAGGGAUGUUCCUGCUUUACAUGGCCCCCACGCCUUUCUCUAGCACCACUUGAUCAGAGGACAGAGCUGGGAGCACCUUCUGGACUCCUGGUCUCAAGGACACAGACCCUUCAGAUGAUGCAAACUCGACUUCAGCAGCAGUUUGUUGCCAGGGGAACUGUCCAUUUCCUAAUGUGUUGCAAAAAAAAUCUCUCUCUCUCUCCACCUAUCCUUUUCAGUGUGUUUAGAGAGCGUCUAGAGAGUGUCAAUCCUGAGGCUAGCAGCCCUCAGGCUUCCUCUCCUGGCUCUCUCCAAAGUGCCAGGAACGAAGCCAUCAGGACAGUCCAGUAAUCAGUGUCCUGAUAUAAUCCUUCCUCUUUGUCAGUCAGUAGGAAAUAAAUUACUCACUGGAGCCUGCUACAAAGAUACCACCCAGGCACAGAUAGCAUCCCUAAAAAGGGAUGUGAAAGACAAAGACUAAUCAAGGAUUCUGCAGCUGUCAGAGGAAGGUAUUUUCCAUGGGAAAGAAAAUAUCUCAUUUUCUUGGGUAUUUCCCAUGUGAUUUUACCUUCAUGCAAAUUGUCAGCAUAGAGACUGAGGCCCAAGAGAUCUCUAGAGGUUAUGCGAAUUUUCAACACCAUUAAGCCUAAGAUUAAAUGAAAUUGGAAGCAAAAUAUGAACUUUCUGAUGUCCAGUAUAUCUAUUCUUACCUAAUAGUUACAUGAGGUGAAGGAGAGGUAUAAGUGGAGAGGAGAAAGGCCACAAAAAAUUUCAUCUUUUGAUACAAUCUAAGUGGCAAAGCUGAAAAUCAAAAGAUGGAAGCAGCAGUCACAGAAGCUCUUCUUGAAAGGUUUAGCUUAGAAAAGGAUUCUUAUUCUCCAAAUAUUUUUGUAAGUACUUGGCUGAAGAAUGAACACACUGCAAUAUUACUUUUAACUUCACCACCUCUUAGAAGAGGAUGAAGCAUCAGCUGAUGCUGGACUUAACCACUCAGUGUCCAGAUCAGUGUUUGGGAAAAUACAAAUUUUUUUAUUGUGAUUUUUGAUGACAAACUUUACCAAUUUCUUUCUUUAGAGAUACCUAUUUGACAUGUGCAUAUGCUCAUAUUAAUCUGGGUUGGUAGUUCAAGAAAUCUAUCAGCAGACUGCUCUGUUCAAAGCAAGUUGCCUAUUGCUGAAUGUUU